CGCGGUAAUUCCAGCUCCAAUAGCGUAUACUAAAGUGUUGCAGUUAAAAAGCUCGUAGUGUUAUUUCUGGCGGGGACGGCUGGUCGGUCUCGGAAGGGGCUGUACUGUUGUUGGUUCCCGUCAUCCUUGGGGAGAGCGGCUCUUACAUUAAGUUGUCGGCGUCGGGAUCCCUAUCUUUUACUGUGAAAAAAUUAGAGUGUUCAAAGCAGGCUUAGGCCCUGAAUACAUUAGCAUGGAAUAAUAAGAUACGACCUUGGUGGUCUAUUUUGUUGGUUUGCACGCCGAGGUAAUGAUUAAUAGGGAUAGUUGGGGGUAUUCGUAUUCAAUUGUCAGAGGUGAAAUUCUUGGAUUUAUGGAAGACGAACUACUGCGAAAGCAUUUACCAAGGAUGUUUUCAUUAAUCAAGAACGAAAGCUAGGGGAUCGAAGAUGAUUAGAUACCAUCGUAGUCUUAACCAUAAACUAUGCCGACUAGGGAUCGGUGGGUGCAUUUUUAGGCCUCAUCGGCACCUUAUGAGAAAUCAAAGUCUUUGGGUUGCGGGGGGAGUAUGGUCGCAAGGCUGAAACUUAAAGAAAUUGACGG
This 582-nucleotide ribosomal RNA is filed under the name uncultured Eustigmatophyceae. Its description in RNAcentral is "SSU rRNA". It matches the Rfam family "Eukaryotic small subunit ribosomal RNA", at positions 575 to 1159 of the family's 1831-position model. Lineage: Eukaryota; Eustigmatophyceae. The record is from RNAcentral.